CACGGAGUUAGCCGAUCCUUAUUCCUUCGGUACAUUCAGCUACUUACACGUAAGUAGGUUUAUUCCCGAUAAAAGCAGUUUACGACCCAGAGGGCUGUCUUCCUGCACGCGGCAUGGCUGGUUCAGAGUUGCCUCCAUUGACCAAUAUUCCUUACUGCUGCCUCCCGUAGGAGUCUGGUCCGUGUCUCAGUACCAGUGUGGGGGGCCAUCCUCUCAGAUCCCCUAGUCAUCGUGGUCUUGGUGGGCCGUUACCCCGCCAACUAACUAAUGACACGCAUGCCCAUCUUAAUCCUAUAAAUAUUUGAUCAUUGUACAAUGCUGUACUGUGAUUUUAUGCGGUGUUAAUCCGAAUUUCUUCGGGCUAUCCCCCUGAUUAAGGUAGGUUGCAUACGCGUUACGCACCCGUGCGCCACUUUUCGAUAAGAGCAAGCCCUUAUCUAUCGUUCGACUUGCAUGUAUUAGGCCUGCCGCUAGCGUUCAUCCUGAGCCAGGAAACUCU
This 499-nucleotide ribosomal RNA is filed under the name uncultured Pedobacter sp. RNAcentral's name for it is "partial 16S ribosomal RNA". The record is from RNAcentral. Lineage: Bacteria; Pseudomonadati; Bacteroidota; Sphingobacteriia; Sphingobacteriales; Sphingobacteriaceae.